GGAGCGGUCGUGGCUGAAUGGUUACGAUGUUCGCUUUAUAAGCGAAUGAUCCUGGGUUCGACGAUACCCAUCUGCUCCC
This 79-nucleotide transfer RNA is filed under the name Culex quinquefasciatus (southern house mosquito). RNAcentral's name for it is "tRNA-Ile". Lineage: Eukaryota; Metazoa; Arthropoda; Insecta; Diptera; Culicidae. The record is from RNAcentral.